UACACUCCUACGGGAGGCAGCAGUGGGGAAUUUUGGACAAUGGGCGAAAGCCUGAUCCAGCAAUGCCGCGUGUGUGAAGAAGGCCUUCGGGUUGUAAAGCACUUUUGUCCGGAAAGAAAUCCUUGGCUCUAAUACAGUCGGGGGAUGACGGUACCGGAAGAAUAAGCACCGGCUAACUACGUGCCAGCAGCCGCGGUAAUACGUAGGGUGCGAGCGUUAAUCGGAAUUACUGGGCGUAAAGCGUGCGCAGGCGGUUUGCUAAGACCGAUGUGAAAUCCCCGGGCUCAACCUGGGAACUGCAUUGGUGACUGGCAGGCUAGAGUAUGGCAGAGGGGGGUAGAAUUCCACGUGUAGCAGUGAAAUGCGUAGAGAUGUGGAGGAAUACCGAUGGCGAAGGCAGCCCCCUGGGCCAAUACUGACGCUCAUGCACGAAAGCGUGGGGAGCAAACAGGAUUAGAAACCCGUGUAGUCCCAUG
Molecule: ribosomal RNA, 476 nt
Filed under: uncultured organism
Description: partial 16S ribosomal RNA
Rfam family: Bacterial small subunit ribosomal RNA
Source: RNAcentral